Molecule: ribosomal RNA, 365 nt
Filed under: uncultured organism
Description: bacterial SSU rRNA
Rfam family: Bacterial small subunit ribosomal RNA
Source: RNAcentral
CGGAGGAUCCAAGCGUUAUCCGGAAUCAUUGGGUUUAAAGGGUCCGUAGGCGGUUUUGUAAGUCAGUGGUGAAAUCUGGUCGCUCAACGAUCAAACGGCCAUUGAUACUGCAAGACUUGAAUUACUGGGAAGUAACUAGAAUAUGUAGUGUAGCGGUGAAAUGCUUAGAUAUUACAUGGAAUACCAAUUGCGAAGGCAGGUUACUACCAGUGGAUUGACGCUGAUGGACGAAAGCGUGGGGAGCGAACAGGAUUAGAUACCCUGGUAGUCCACGCCGUAAACGAUGGAUACUAGCUGUUGGGGUUACCUCAGUGGCUAAGCGAAAGUGAUAAGUAUCCCACCUGGGGAGUACGUUCGCAAGAAUG